AAACGUAGGUGGCGAGCGUUAUCCGGAGUUACAGGGCGUAAAGGGCGCGUAGGCGGCCUGGUAAGUCGUGCGUGACAGCUCCCGGCUCAACUGGGAGAGGUCGUACGAGACUGCCGGGCUCGAGGGUCGGAGAGGGAGGUGGAAUUCCCGGUGUAGCGGUGAAAUGCGCAGAUAUCGGGAGGAACACCGGUGGCGAAGGCGGCCUCCUGGCCGACGCCUGACGCUGAGGCGCGAAAGCGUGGGGAGCGAACGGGAUUAGAUACCCUAGUAGUCC
This 274-nucleotide ribosomal RNA is filed under the name uncultured bacterium. RNAcentral describes it as "partial 16S ribosomal RNA". It matches the Rfam family "Bacterial small subunit ribosomal RNA", at positions 523 to 796 of the family's 1533-position model. The record is from RNAcentral.